UCACUUACCUGGACGGGGUCAAUGGGUGAUCAAGAUGGUCCAUGGCCUAGGUUGGUGACCUCCAUUGCACUUUGGAGGGGUGCCCGCCUAAGGUCGGCCCAAGCGGUCGAGCCUACGUCAUAAUUUGUGGCAGUGGGGGCUUGCGUUCGCGCAGCCCCUGC
RNAcentral lists this small nuclear RNA (161 nucleotides) under Helianthus annuus (common sunflower). RNAcentral's name for it is "U1 spliceosomal RNA". It matches the Rfam family "U1 spliceosomal RNA". From Rfam's summary of the family: U1 is a small nuclear RNA (snRNA) component of the spliceosome (involved in pre-mRNA splicing). Lineage: Eukaryota; Viridiplantae; Streptophyta; Magnoliopsida; Asterales; Asteraceae. The record is from RNAcentral.